GAUGAAGAACGCAGCGAAAUGCGAUACGUAAUGUGAAUUGCAGAAUUCAGUGAAUCAUCGAAUCUUUGAACGCAUAUUGCGCUCUCUGGUAUUCCGGAGAGCAUGCUUGUUUGAGUAUCAGUAAACACCUCAACUUCCAUAUCUUUUUUGAAAUGGGAGUUGGACUUGAGUGAUCCCAACGCUUUUCGUCACCGAAAAGUGGCGGGUUACUUGAAAUGCAGGUGCAGCUGGACUUUUCUCUGAGCUAUAAGCCUAUCUAUUUAGUCUGCCUAAAAAACAGAUUAUUACCUUUGCUGCAGCUAACAUAAAGGAGAUUAGUUCUUGUGCUGACUGAUGCAGGAUUCACAAAGACAGGCUUCGGCCGACUUUGUAAACUCGAUCUCAAAUCAAGUAAGACUACCCGCUGAACUUAAGCAUAUCAAUAAGCGGAGGA
RNAcentral lists this unclassified non-coding RNA (433 nucleotides) under soil metagenome. Its description in RNAcentral is "partial contains 5.8S ribosomal RNA, internal transcribed spacer 2, and large subunit ribosomal RNA". The stretch from base 1 to 120 matches the Rfam family "5.8S ribosomal RNA", at positions 35 to 154 of the family's 154-position model. The record is from RNAcentral.